RNAcentral lists this ribosomal RNA (751 nucleotides) under uncultured bacterium. RNAcentral describes it as "bacterial SSU rRNA". It matches the Rfam family "Bacterial small subunit ribosomal RNA", at positions 33 to 773 of the family's 1533-position model. The record is from RNAcentral.
ACGCUGGCGGCAGGCCUAACACAUGCAAGUCGAGCGGUAGCACAGGGGGGCUUGCUCUCUGGGUGACGAGCGGCGGACGGGUGAGUAAUGUCUGGGGAUCUGCCUGAUGGAGGGGGAUAACUACUGGAAACGGUAGCUAAUACCGCAUGACCUCGCAAGAGCAAAGUGGGGGACCUUAGGGCCUCACGCCAUCGGAUGAACCCAGAUGGGAUUAGCUAGUAGGUGGCGUAAUGGCUCACCUAGGCGACGAUCCCUAGCUGGUCUGAGAGGAUGACCAGCCACACUGGAACUGAGACACGGUCCAGACUCCUACGGGAGGCAGCAGUGGGGAAUAUUGCACAAUGGGCGCAAGCCUGAUGCAGCCAUGCCGCGUGUAUGAAGAAGGCCUUCGGGUUGUAAAGUACUUUCAGCGAGGAGGAAGGAUUUCGUGUUAACAGCACGGGAUAUUGACGUUACUCGCAGAAGAAGCACCGGCUAACUCCGUGCCAGCAGCCGCGGUAAUACGGAGGGUGCAAGCGUUAAUCGGAAUUACUGGGCGUAAAGCGCACGCAGGCGGUUGAUUAAGUUGGAUGUGAAAUCCCCGGGCUUAACCUGGGAACUGCAUUCAAAACUGAUUGGCUAGAGUCUUGUAGAGGGGGGUAGAAUUCCAGGUGUAGCGGUGAAAUGCGUAGAGAUCUGGAGGAAUACCGGUGGCGAAGGCGGCCCCCUGGACAAAGACUGACGCUCAGGUGCGAAAGCGUGGGGAGCAAAC